RNAcentral lists this ribosomal RNA (497 nucleotides) under uncultured bacterium. RNAcentral describes it as "partial 16S ribosomal RNA". It matches the Rfam family "Bacterial small subunit ribosomal RNA", at positions 28 to 507 of the family's 1533-position model. The record is from RNAcentral.
GAUGAACGUUGGCGGCGUGCCUAAUACAUGCAAGUCGAGCGAACAGACGAGGAGCUUGCUCCUCUGACGUUAGCGGCGGACGGGUGAGUAACACGUGGAUAACCUACCUAUAAGACUGGGAUAACUUCGGGAAACCGGAGCUAAUACCGGAUAAUAUAUUGAACCGCAUGGUUCAAUAGUGAAAGACGGUUUUGCUGUCACUUAUAGAUGGAUCCGCGCCGCAUUAGCUAGUUGGUAAGGUAACGGCUUACCAAGGCAACGAUGCGUAGCCGACCUGAGAGGGUGAUCGGCCACACUGGAACUGAGACACGGUCCAGACUCCUACGGGAGGCAGCAGUAGGGAAUCUUCCGCAAUGGGCGAAAGCCUGACGGAGCAACGCCGCGUGAGUGAUGAAGGUCUUCGGAUCGUAAAACUCUGUUAUUAGGGAAGAACAAAUGUGUAAGUAACUAUGCACGUCUUGACGGUGCCUAAUCAGAAAGCCACGGCUAACUACGUG